AUUUAAAUAGUUUAUGUAAAACGUAAUAUUGAAGAUAUUAAAAAAAUUAAGAUUUUUAAAUA
RNAcentral lists this transfer RNA (62 nucleotides) under Merostenus sp. RNAcentral describes it as "tRNA-Phe". The record is from RNAcentral. Lineage: Eukaryota; Metazoa; Arthropoda; Insecta; Hymenoptera; Eupelmidae.